GCCUACGGGACGCAGCAGUGAGGAAUAUUGGUCAAUGGGCGGGAGCCUGAACCAGCCAAGCCGCGUGAGGGAAGAAGGUACAGAGUAUCGUAAACCUCUUUUGUCAGGGAACAAAGGCGGGGACGCGUCCCCGGAUGAGUGUACCUGAAGAAAAAGCAUCGGCUAACUCCGUGCCAGCAGCCGCGGUAAUACGGAGGAUGCGAGCGUUAUCCGGAUUUAUUGGGUUUAAAGGGUGCGCAGGCGGUCUGUUAAGUCAGCGGUCAAAGCCCGGGGCUCAACCCCGGCCCGCCGUUGAAACUGGCAGG
This 305-nucleotide ribosomal RNA is filed under the name uncultured bacterium. Its description in RNAcentral is "bacterial SSU rRNA". It matches the Rfam family "Bacterial small subunit ribosomal RNA", at positions 337 to 640 of the family's 1533-position model. The record is from RNAcentral.